Pyrus x bretschneideri (Chinese white pear) is the source of this 750-nucleotide long non-coding RNA. RefSeq lists it as uncharacterized. The transcript has 2 exons. NCBI's taxonomy places the organism in Eukaryota, Viridiplantae, Streptophyta, Magnoliopsida, Rosales, Rosaceae. The record is from RefSeq and is a predicted model, not a curated record.
AUAUUGGCCGCACGAUCUUUGUUGAACGGUUACUAUGUCCCCAGUAAGGGGAUCCGAAGAUGAUAUAAAUCCGUCUUUUUUCAUUCCCUUUUAAUUGACAAAGAUGACUUUGAGGCCAAUAACAAGGCCCAAUAUUAACCGGGCUUAUUUUGAUACUUAAUCGGGUCAAAAAGACCCGAAGCCUGCUCCGUCCCAAUUUGCCUGUGACGGUCACGCUCCCCUCUGUCUUCUAGUAACUUCAGUAAACUAUCGAGCUCGAAAUCCCUCUCUGAUUGCAGUGCUUCAUCUCUCCAUCUCUCUCUCUCAUCUUUCUCUCUCUAGAACCUCAUUGUUCCCAUCGAAUGACGAGUCCGCAGCCGGCGUCUCUGCGGCCAUGGUUCCUCGAAUUGGUGCCGAUCGUGGUGGUUCUCCUAAUAGUAGCUCACGUCCUCGCUCUGGUGUACUGGAUAUACAGAUUAGCUACUGAGAAGGAGAGGCAGCCCCAGAGGAGAAAAGCACACUGAGGAGGAACAGGUUGAUUUGUGAAAUUAAAGAAAUUAAAAACCCUAAUUUGUUGAUUUCUUGUGGAUUAGUAUUAAUUAAGUUUGAUUAAGAGCAAGUGAUUUCUGUUAGUUAUCUGUGUACUAAUAGAUUGUGGAUUUCUGAGAAAUUGAUCAAUUACACGGUAUAAGAAUUGGCAGAGAUCCAUCUGAGUGUUGUGAAUUAUUAUUAUUAUUUUUUAAUAUUUAAUUGCAGUUUUGAUUUGUGAAA